ACGGGAGGCAGCAGUGAGGAAUAUUGGUCAAUGGGCGGAAGCCUGAACCAGCCAAGUAGCGUGAAGGAUGACGGCCCUAUGGGUUGUAAACUUCUUUUACAGGGGAAUAAAGAUGCCUACGUGUAGGCAGUUGCAUGUACCCUGCGAAUAAGGAUCGGCUAAUUCCGUGCCAGCAGCCGCGGUAAUACGGAAGAUCCGAGCGUUAUCCGGAUUUAUUGGGUUUAAAGGGAGCGUAGGCGGGCUGAUAAGUCAGUGGUCAAAGCGUGUGGCUCAACCAUACCACGCCGUUGAAACUGUCAGCCUUGAGUGCACGCGAGGAUGGUGGAAUUCGUGGUGUAGCGGUGAAAUGCUUAGAUAUCACGAAGAACUCCGAUUGCGAAGGCAGCUGUCCGGAGUGCAACUGACGCUGAUGCUCGAAAGUGCGGGAAUCAAACAGGAUUAGAUACCCUGGUA
RNAcentral lists this ribosomal RNA (453 nucleotides) under uncultured Paraprevotella sp. RNAcentral's name for it is "bacterial SSU rRNA". It matches the Rfam family "Bacterial small subunit ribosomal RNA", at positions 341 to 792 of the family's 1533-position model. Lineage: Bacteria; Pseudomonadati; Bacteroidota; Bacteroidia; Bacteroidales; Prevotellaceae. The record is from RNAcentral.